RNAcentral lists this ribosomal RNA (468 nucleotides) under uncultured bacterium. RNAcentral's name for it is "partial 16S ribosomal RNA". It matches the Rfam family "Bacterial small subunit ribosomal RNA", at positions 28 to 507 of the family's 1533-position model. The record is from RNAcentral.
GACGAACGCUGGCGGCGUGCUUAACACAUGCAAGUCGAACGGAAAGGCCCUGCUUUUGUGGGGUGCUCGAGUGGCGAACGGGUGAGUAACACGUGAGUAACCUGCCCUUGACUUUGGGAUAACUUCAGGAAACUGGGGCUAAUACCGGAUAGGAGCUCCUGCUGCAUGGUGGGGGUGGGCAAGUUCGGGCGGUGGGGGAUGGACUCGCGGCUGUUCGGCUUGUUGGUGGGGCAGUGGCUUCCCAAGGUUUUGACGGGUAGCCGGCCUGGGAGGGUGACCGGCCACAUUGGGACUGAGAUACGGCCCAGACUGCUACGGGGGGCAGCGGUGGGGAAUAUGGCACAAUGGGCGGAAGCCCGAUGCAGCAACGCCGCGUGCGGGAUCACGGCCUUCGGGUUGUAAACCGCUUUCGCCUGUGACGAAGCGUGAGUGACGGUAAUGUGUAAAGAAGCACCGGCUAACUACGUG